ACUUCUGGCAAUUUAUCUUUGUACUAAACUAAAAGGAUAAAAUAAGUUAACUUCUCUUCAUAUGUAAUUAUGUAUAAAUGUUUAAUUUAUUUUGAUCUCUUUAGAAGUAUAAAACAAAAAUGACAUUCAAGAGCGUUUAAACUCUUGAGAUGUUUGCUAAUAUAAAGUGUUGUAUUAUCUUGAGUGGAUAGUAUCACAUCAAAUAUAUAUAUGAAAUAUAAAUUCACUAAUGGGUUAUGGGAAAAGGGACAUAUUGUAAAGUUUAAAGAUGCAGUUCUUGUCUCUUGCAUGGUGUCUCUCACUGUAUAUAUCUGAGUGUUAUUCACAACUUUGUUUGAAAAUUGCAAUCAUUGAUUGCCCAGUUUCCCUUCUAAAAAAAAAAAAAUUGAAAAAAAUUCCCAAAAAGAUUAUUAUUAUUAUUAUAGAUACCAGCAAGUGGAUUUAAAACCGUCCUUAGGUGGUGGAUGAACGUAUGGAUGAAAUGCACUGUGAGGUUUUUUUUUGGUUCUUUUAAUUUAUUUUUUUUUCUCUCAAAAAGCAAUUCAUAAAUUACAUUUAGUACUUCUUUAUGUGCUGCUUUUUGGGGCAUACAUCCUGUGAAAUAUUUUUUACAAAUACCAUAAUAAAAGCAUUUGGUGGUAAAUAGGGACACCUCAACAUACAGUCUGUUGACAUGACGCACCUUGCUGCUAGGUUUGAAAUAGCGUAAAAGUAAAUGUGUGGACAAUUAAUUUAUAUAGGGGAGAUAAAAAAUAAAAAAAUUGUCCAUAUUAGAAAAGUGAUGUCAUGUUCUAAAAGUAGAUCUGUCACAAUGGAAUCAGAAGGAAUGUUCCUUAUGGCUCCAUAAUUUCAAACUUUAAACCAUGUUUCUACUAGUCACUUUUUAAAAUCUCCUACUUUGUGUCCUGUGCAAAGCAGUUCAUCUUUUGCCUUCAAAUAUUUAGGCUAUAUAAUAAGAAUUGCAAUUUUUAUUAAGAGAGUUCACAUACUGUCUUUGUCAUCUUUGUUUCUGUGCAAGAACAUCUUCAGCUGUCUGCCAUAUGAACAUCUUGGUGGAAAUUUUGGAGAGACAUGAAAAUACGUACGUUUUAGCAAGACUCAGUAUAUGGUUCCUAUUAUUAGGUCAAUUUAUCUGCCCUAUAAUCUAGGUUUCUACUGCUCUCUGAUGGGAGAUGUUAACUAAUAAAUUAGGUGUUGCCAAAUAAUAAGACUUUGGGUCCUAAAAGAGUGAGCAGUUUAUUACAUUCAAUGUUAGCUUGGCACAAUCACAGUCAAAUGUAUAUUGUUAGAAAAUAGAAAUGUUCCCUCUAUGCAGUUUUAGGUGAAGGGAACUUGGCUACAUGGAAACUAAUGGGUAUGUAACUAUUAGGAGUAACUUUUCCUGAUGAACAUCCAGUAGCACACAUGCAGGUCUAGAGGAGAGACAUCACAUAUAUAUAUUCAUCUUCAAAGUGUUUUCCCCAUAAGUUUCAUUAUUUUUUUAUUUGUUAUGUGGAAGCAUGAAACUGGUGUUUCAUUGUAAUUUUCCUGUCGUCCUUAAGGCUGCCUAAGGUUAGAUAUUUUCUUGUAUCUCUUCUCAUAGAGACUACCAUUUCUUAUUUGUCAAUCUGCCAGAAUUAUGGAAUAAAACAUAAGCUCUUUUGAGCUUAUUCCUGGUCUUUUAAAUGUGUUACUUAUAUUUUUUGUCUACCGUUCACAAGCACUGAGGAACAUGUUGACUAUUUAUACAUAGGAAUAACUAAGGAAGAACAGGUUUACAAUACAACAUUAAGAUGUCUAUCUUAAAUAAAUCUGUUCAUAUCAUGAGACUGGUAUUAAAUAACCAACUAUUUAUCUCCUCUUUCAAUUCUUUAGAUCCAUUUAAACCUUUUGAAAUUCUAAGUAUGAUCCAUAGACUAUCUAAUUUAUGAUCAAUUUUCCUGUUUUGCAAUAUUUUAGUUCAUUAUUUUAAACAAUUCUGCAGUAAUUAUUGAUGCUGCAUUCCUAAUAAGAUCAAGAAGAAGCAUUGUCACUUUUCUCUAACCCUGUGAAGUAAGCAGCGUAAAAUUAGUAAAUUCAUUGUCGAGAAUUGCAAGAAAUUAGUUAUUAUUUAAAUUUAAUUUUAUGGACCGUUUUAUUAAUGUUUAGACAGCAGAAUAUUAAUAGUACAUUUCAAAAUACCUCUGUUUGUAGAGUUGAAGUUUUUUUUGUUUUGUUUUUUGUGAGAGCAAGCUUUGGUUUUAUUUAUUUUUUAUUAACCAAUGAAACACGCAUCCACCAUUUUGUUUCAACUGAGAGAGUCUUUUUUUCCCUCUCCUUUGCUUCUGUAAUAUAAAUCCAAGACAAUGUCAGAUGGAUAGUUAUCCUUAUUAUUGAAGCACUUUACUAGCAUUUUAUUAAUGACCACAAACAAUAAAAUGAGAUUUUACAUCUCACUUUUAAUGCGGUUUUCAUUGCUUUGUUUGGGUAAGAAACAAAUGACUGCCAUAUCCUUGGCCUUUUAUGAACUAUAGAUUUCUUGUUAAAUUCCGUUUAUGUAAAGGGAACAUUUAAAGAAAUUCAGAUAUACUUGUAAAACGUUUUAUUAUUUAUCUACUUGGUGAAGGUGUCAGUAAGAUAUUCUCUGUUGUGUACAUUCUGAUCAGUGAACCUGCACUUCCUCAUAGCUUUAUUUUUUAUUGGUUAAAAACAAGCAGCCAAUCACAUUACUCAACUUUGAUUUCAAGUGUGUCGGGUUGAAACUCUUAUUACCUGCUUUCAACUUGGGAGUUCAUUCAGCAAUAAAAUAAUUAGUAGACACUGACAUUUUUUUUUGUUCUGUGUACUUAUUUUAAAUACUGAGCAUUUUUAUUAUCAUAUAUUGCCAAAAAAUAGUUUUGUCCAUAAGACAAAGUAGUUCCCAUGUUUUAAUAAUGGUGUCUUCAAAUUGUGUUGAAAUUUCAAUUGCGUUUAUAGACUUUCCAAGAUUUUCAAGAAGAUUCUAUCUCUGGAAAACCUCAAAAUGGCAAGUCCUUUUAAUAUACACAUAAUCUAAAUACACUAAUACACCAUUUUACUAGUAUGCCAUAAUGAAAUGGUAUAACUAUCUGUAUAUUUCACAGAAAUCCCUUCUGGUUGUCAUUUCUGUAAUGUUCAUCUGUGCAUAUGUGCUGUAUGGGUAAUUGAAUAGAAAGCCACUUUUUUUUAAAGAAACAGCAGGUGGGCCUGAGUUAGUAUACACUCCCUGCUGUACUAUCUGCCGUUUCAGCUGCUGCCUAGCAUGUCUUCUAUAGGAUAUGUUCUGUGUUACUCAUGAAAUAGUUGGAAUAACAGAAUUGGGUUAACUGUCCCUGGUCUACCUAGGCAUUAAGUCAAACAUUGCUUAUCUACACGUAGAAAAAACUCAGCUAGUGCAGUACAACAUAAUACAACAGCAAUGCCUACAUUGUUUUAACUUUAUUGAUACAUUUGAUUGUAGCAGGAAGUCCUACAUUUUAGAUCUUGACAGGAGAGCCUAAAAAAAAAGAAACAAUAUCAAACAAUUGGCUUCAAAGCUGUAAUGCUGAUUGGCUGCAUGAUGUCUUCCAGAGUUCUCCAAAUUCUGGCUUUCUAGAUGUUGCUGAACUACAAUUCCCAUCAUUCUUUGAAUGAAAUAGAUAGCCAGAGAAUUAUGGGAUUUGAAGUUCAGCAACAUCUGGAAGAGUUCUCCAAACAUCUGGAGGACCAGAAUUUGGAAAACCCUGGAAGCCAAAUAUAGAUCCAGCUAGAAUUCAGAUAGCGCCCAAAUGAAAACAGGCCAUUGGCUACUUUAACAUGAAGGUUUAAAGGGGUAUUUAACCUCCCAGGAUUUUUUACAUUAUAUUUACGUACCCCUAUGUUUAAAGAAAAUGCAUUUGCGAGGUGUGUGAAAUAAAAUUAAAUAUAAUAGUCCAGACUCCUUUAUCCUACACCUGGACACCUCCAUCUUAACUCCCUGUCCAUCACAUUCUGUCCUGUGCACUUGGCAGUGAGCAUAGAGAAAGCAUACAGAAAAGAGGAGAAACAAAACAAUGUUGUUAUUUCUUUACCUUAUUUGCAAUGUUUGUCCUGGCUUUGCCUUGUCUGAACUGACUUAUGAUGUAUUUGUAAAUAUUUAAUAUCAAGUUAAAAGAAAACAGAGUCUGUCAUGAAAAAAAUAGUAACACAAGGUAUAGGUGAUUUUCAGUGUUUUAUUCAAUGGUGUCAAUUUCAGAUAAAUGAUUGCUCUCCUUUAACCCCUUAAGGACCAAACUUCUGGAAUAAAAGGGAAUCAUGACAUGUCACACAUGUCAUGUGUCCUUAAGGGUUUAAGUGAGUAAUUAAAGUAAAACAAAUGUAAACAAAUAGAGCACUUGAUAUUGUAGCAGAGAGAUUUCUGACAUUGGAGACAUUUCUGUCUUGAUUUUAUGAUCAUAGAACAGGGAUAGCCAACCUUCGACACUCCAGAUGUUACACCCAUAAUGCUGGCAAGGCAUCAUGGGAGGUGUAGUCGAAAACAUCUGGAGUGCCGAAGGUUGCCUAUGCCUGUCAUAGACCAUUGCAGUCACACAAUUUUGGCAGGAGAAAAUACAUAGUAAUGCCAUGCUAUAGGCUCCCCAGCUGUUAUACUACAAUUAAGGGAUAUUUAGAGCAAAAACUGGAGACCUUGGAUUAGGCAUCCCAUGUUUACGCUGUCACAGUUCUACAUUUUCUUUUGUUUGAGUUUAUAGUAGACAUUAAAAAUUGGAUCUUCCAGACAGGAUGAGAUAAUGUUUCUUUAAAAGGACACUAUAGUCACCAGAACAACUACAGCUUAUUGUAUUUGUUCUGGUGAGUAUUAUCAUUCCCUGCAGGCUUUUCGCAGUCAACACUGUUUUCUCAGAGAAACGGCAGCGCUUACAUUGCUCCCUAUGGACAUGUCUACUGGCCACUCCUCAAAUGGUUACUAGAGGCUCUUCCUGUGGCAGUACUGCACACUGUGCAGCACUGACAUUUAUUGUCUUCAUCCUCUGCAUGAAGAAACUGAACUUUCAUCAUAGAGAUGCUGAAUGGCCAGGGCGGCAUUUGGCUCCUCUCCACUCCCCCCACACACACACACACCUUCUUGGCAAUCACAGCCAAUCCAAUGCUUUCCUAUGGUAAAGCAUUGUGAUUGGCUGAGAUCAUCACUUCUGGACAAGAAGGCAGAUAAGGGGCAGAAUCAUCAGACUGAAAUAAAGGUAAGAUUUUACAAUACUUAGAGCAGGCAGGAGGGUAGAUAGUGAUUUUAACACUAUAGGCACAGGAAUACAUGUUUGUGAUCCUGACCCUAUAGUGUCCCUUUAACAUUAUGCGCACUUUACUACUGUUUAUCUUAAAUGUGUGGCUUUAAUGCACCAUUGGAAUUAUGCAUCAGUUUAGUAAAUCAGUCAUCAAUAUAACCAUAUCCCUAAUCCCUGGUAGUUUCUUGAGUUUGGGAUUUGGCAUUAGUAAAAUCAUUACAUCUCUUUAGCUGUAUGGAAGUGGAGGAAAUAGUAAUGAACCAUUCUGCUGCGACAAUAAAUGAGUUGUGUCCAUUCUGCUUUUGAAAAUGAUAUACCGUAUAAGGCUUUGAUUUUGACUGAAAAAUGAACCGGUUAUAAAGACAUUGUACAUAAAAAAGUGUUUUGCAACAUUUGCAAAUAUAUAUUUUGACAUUGCUGUACCUUGUCAAAAUGUGAAAUAUGUGGAGUUUCAUUGCUUUAUUUAAGGUGCACCUGCCAUACAAAUAUGAGAUAGUGACAAUUUGCAAAAGGGACUAUAUUGUUAAAGGGACAGCACAGGCUGGAGUUGACCCUUUUAUUUGAAAUGUAUCAUAUAAGUAAACUUUAUGCAAAAUUAUAAUUACAAAAUAUGUAUGUUAUUUGUAAAUCUUGCUUUUGUUAUCCACUAUUUUGUCAGUCAUGUCUUUUAUUUAGAAGUUUCCAUGUCUUUUAUUUAGAAGUUAGUUCCAUUUCUUUAAUGUAUCUGUUUGACACUUGUUUUUUGAGAAAUCUAUACUCAUCUAGAAUACGUAUGACGUUCCUCUAGAUAAAAAGGUGUUCGUCUAUUUGGAAAGCGUUAAAGGGAAACUAUUAAUAAAGAUGUAUACAGAAUUGUCUAGCAGAACAAAGUAAGAAAUGACUCAAAAUAUCAAGUGAGGGCUAAGGUUCACCAGUUUAAUGAAUGGAGGUGCUGUCUAACCUUUAAAUGGGAUAAAUGGAUAUCUUGACAUGUAAACAGUGAGUUGUAGGCAAUAAUUACAUAAUAAAGUGGCAAGAAUGGCUUGUGCAGACAUGCUGUGGGCAUCACAAACAUUUUUUUAAAAGUUGCCAAGAUCCUUCUACAUAGAAUGCUUAUGGUCUGAUUAGGAAUGCAUUAAUGGGGGCUUUUAGUAAGGGAGAGAUUCUAUAAAUUCACACAGUAGAGAUGUAACCAAAUAUUAUGUAGUUCUUUCUGGUUUCACUGUAAAAUAAGCUAAUUGUGACAUCAGGGAUCAUAGACUACAUUUACAACCCACAGUGAUGGUCAUACAAUGAGCUUAAGGAUUAGAUUGCUAUCCACUUCCCAACUACCCUGAAAUCCUGGUAAGAAAAUUGAAACAAUAAUAAUACUUUUGGGGGUUUUAAAACAUUUUUUUUUGUAAUUCCAUUUUAAAGGGCUAAAUUCUCAACCACAGAUUGCAGUGAAAAAAAAUUACGUUAGCCUCAAAUAUCAUUGACCAUUGGCAUUUUCUCAUUGGCAAAACAUUGUUUUCUUAAAAGAAUGAUGCUACGAGUUAAAUCUAAUGCAGACAUAAACCUUAGUCUGGAUCAUCGUCGGAGAACUGCAGUUUCCAGUACUUACCAUUUCAAAUAGUUAUAAAGCCACUACCCGGUUAGGUCGAUCAUACUGUUAUAUCCAUUAUAUCUGCCAGUUUUUAUUUAUAGAUUAGAAUUAUUCUACCUAGUUUACGUAAGAAACAAAAAACAACACUGUAUGUGAUAUAAUCCACUCUUAAAUCUUUGUAAUUGUAAAUGAAAAUUCUAGAGGAUGCCGAAUGCUGUUGACAUGCGUGAAAUGCUUCUUUUUUUUUUUCUUCUGAACGCGGUGUCAUGGUAAUCCAUGUGGUAGGCAAUGGAGUAGUACUGUAGACCUAGACAUCAUCUUCUUAUCCAUCACGACACAAAAUGGUGGGUUGUUUCAUUAACAAAUAUGAAUAAAUGGCUGAAUUUCUACAUGGAAAGUCAAAGUGGUGCCACGUGCGUAACCCUUUAACAGUAUACGGGACCCAUUAUGCCAGCAUCUGACCUCAGGUAUUAGUUGGUGGAAAAAACUGAGUUUGAAACCGCUGUAAAGUAAAAUACUUGUCUUGGUAAAGGAGGCAGGAACAAGUAGCACUCUAUGUCAAGUAAAAAGGGCGUUGAUCCCAUGAAGGUUGUUAUCCAAAAUUUUCCUAUAUUGUGCCCAUCAUUCAUUGCAGCGCCCUCUGGUGUUGGCAUGGUUUUUAAGAAACAGCAAUAAAGGAAGAUUGUUAUGUAAUAGCAAACCGUAUUGUAGAUAAACCAUUCAUGGAAUCUUGUGACAUGUCUUGUCUUGUGAACUUGUGCUGUUUGAAGUCAGAUGAAAACCGUGUAGUCAGCUGGAUGCACAGAGAAGAGUACACCAUGAAAAUAACAUACACCAUACACAAAUCAAUCCAAGAGAUUCCUCAUGGUGCUUGUUUAAUUAUAUUUAAUUCUGCUUGACACUUUACCUAAGGGGAGAUUGUCCCUGUUAUCAGUUGAAUGUUAGCAGCGUUAUUCCAUAUAGAGAGUGUUGACUGUUUUGAGAUCUUCAUUUAUUCAGCCAUUCACAGCUGAAAACAAGAAAGAGAAAAAAAAAAUACAAAUACAUUUUUAUGUGCGAAAGACAGCAACCUUGUAUGUUAAAUCACCAGUACGCUUUGUACAUCUGUGAUAACGCCUGUUUUAUAUUCAAAUGAACAAAUAAAAGCUUUUAUUUUUGUUGCUCUGAAAA
RNAcentral lists this long non-coding RNA (7950 nucleotides) under Pelobates cultripes (western spadefoot toad). Lineage: Eukaryota; Metazoa; Chordata; Amphibia; Anura; Pelobatidae. The record is from RNAcentral.